UAAGCGGAGGAAAAGAAACUAACAAGGAUUCCCCUAGUAACUGCGAGUGAAGCGGGAAAAGCUCAAAUUUAAAAUCUGGCAGUCUUUGGCUGUCCGAGUUGUAAUCUAGAGAAGUGUUAUCCGCGCUGGACCGUGUACAAGUCUCCUGGAAUGGAGCGUCAUAGAGGGUGAGAAUCCCGUCUUUGACACGGACUGCCAGGGCUUUGUGAUGCGCUCUCAAAGAGUCGAGUUGUUUGGGAAUGCAGCUCAAAAUGGGUGGUAAAUUCCAUCUAAAGCUAAAUAUUGGCGAGAGACCGAUAGCGAACAAGUACCGUGAGGGAAAGAUGAAAAGAACUUUGGAAAGAGAGUUAAACAGUACGUGAAAUUGCUGAAAGGGAAACGCUUGAAGUCAGUCGCGUUGGCCAGGGAUCAACCUUGCUUUUGCUUGGUGUACUUUCUGGUUGACGGGUCAGCAUCAAUUUUGACUGUUGGAAAAAGGUCAGGGGAAUGUGACAUCUUCGGAUGUGUUAUAGCCCUUGGUUGCAUACAAUGGUUGGGAUUGAGGAACUCAGCACGCCGCAAGGCCGGGUAACUUGUUACCACGUACGUGCUUAGGAUGCUGGCAUAAUGGCUUUAAUCGACCCGUCUUGAAACACGGACCAAGGAGUCUAACAUGCCUGCGAGUGUUUGGGUGGAAAACCCGAGCGCGUAAUGAAAGUGAAAGUUGAGAUCCCUGUCGUGGGGAGCAUCGACGCCCGGACCAGACCUUUUGUGACGGUUCCGCGGUAGAGCAUGUAUGUUGGGACCCGAAAGAUGGUGAACUAUGCCUGAAUAGGGUGAAGCCAGAGGAAACUCUGGUGGAGGCUCGUAGCGAUUCUGACGUGCAAAUCGAUCGUCAAAUUUGGGUAUAGGGGCGAAAGACUAAUCGAAC
RNAcentral lists this ribosomal RNA (910 nucleotides) under Cortinarius sp. PDD 105788. RNAcentral describes it as "partial large subunit ribosomal RNA". It matches the Rfam family "Eukaryotic large subunit ribosomal RNA", at positions 47 to 940 of the family's 3401-position model. Lineage: Eukaryota; Fungi; Basidiomycota; Agaricomycetes; Agaricales; Cortinariaceae. The record is from RNAcentral.